This 1202-nucleotide long non-coding RNA is filed under the name Gossypium barbadense (sea-island cotton). RNAcentral describes it as "long non-coding RNA (GBAR_LNC020604)". The record is from RNAcentral. Lineage: Eukaryota; Viridiplantae; Streptophyta; Magnoliopsida; Malvales; Malvaceae.
AAAAAAAUUGGUUGAAUUUUUAAGGCUAGUCAUUGUAUUUAUUGAUUUGUGCGGAUCUAACCUCUCAAACUUUUUGAUUUGCUAAUUUUUAAUCCCUCCAUUGAUUUUUUCUAUUAACUCUGCUAAAUAAUUAGGUACAAUAAAGAAUUUAGUCCCUCAAACUUUACAAAUUUUUUCAAUUUAGCCUUUACUCUCUUUUUUUACUUAUAAAAACUAUACAAAAAUAUAAAGUAAUUAAAAAAUUUAUAAUAUUUCCCAAACUUUCAAUAAAUCAUUGGUCCAAUUACCCAAAUGAAAAACUAAUUUUAUAAAUAAUAAACUUUGAAAAAAACCCAUUUCUUUCAAUUCUUUCCACUUUCUUUUUCCCUAUUCUCUCAACUCUCGUUGCUUCCUCUAGUAAUUGAAAGUAACAAACAAAAUCUUCACUCGAAACCCAAAAAGAAUAAAAGAAAUAAAUCUUUCAUGUCCCUUUGUUACAUGGUUUCCUUUGAUUUUUCUUUUGGAAAUCCACAACAUUAUUUGUUUUGUUUUUGUAAUAGGGCCCAAUCGACCCAGGCCCAAACAAUUAAAAAUAGUCCAGUUACAAGCCCAACGGCCUUACAGGCCCAAAACUAAACCAAACCCCAAAACUAAAAAAAGAAAAAACCCUAGUGACAACAGGGGAGCGCCGCAACUUCCCCCGCCUUCCACGCCUCCAGCGAGUGCCCAGUCGCCGCAAGACUCGGAGAUGGCCCUCUCCACGCGCGCCGUUUCUUCACGAUUAUCUGCAAAAACGGACCUAAGGAGUCCGAGGAAAACAAAAUAGCAAAGAAUAACAGAUGUACUUAUUUUCUUUUUACUUUCAGGCCUACAAGAGACCACUUUUUAUAUGUAAAAGAGGAGGGAUCUUUGGAUAGAGAGAAUCAACAAUAAUAAAGCAGCGAAAACUCGUUUUUUUAAGAGGUGAUUUCUUUUUUUUGUCGACAGUGACUAUCGUUCUACAUAUGUUUUUCAUUUUCUUUCACUUUUCAUUUUGUUUCAUUUAAAAUAACAAAGAAAAAGAAAAAGAAAACUUACCUAAGUUGGGAACCAGUGCCGGAAUUCGGACCGUCCGAAUCGCCUGAGAGGCGGCGCGAGGACGCUAGGGUCCUAAACCCUAGCAGAGCAACAGAGAAACUUUUGUUAUUUUAAUUUAUUUUUCUUUCAUUCGGUUUCAAGUGAUU